This is a long non-coding RNA of Prionailurus viverrinus (fishing cat), 2294 nucleotides long. RefSeq lists it as uncharacterized. The transcript has 9 exons. Lineage: Eukaryota; Metazoa; Chordata; Mammalia; Carnivora; Felidae. The record is from RefSeq and is a predicted model, not a curated record.
GAAUCUGGAGCCGAAGAGGCAGGAUCGCCAAACGGACCCGUUUUGGAGGUCACAGCUCCUCUGGGCGCGGCUUAGUGGCGGAGCUUGCGGUGAGGGGAGGGUCUUCCACUUGUCGCCAGCGUGAACUCUGGUGCCCCGUGAGUGUUCGGAAUGGACCCCCAAAUCUGCCCCCGCCAGGUCGCACUCGACUCUGUUUCGACGACUUUUUUUGUAUCACUUUCUCUUCCUUUUUGCCUUGGGGUCCCUUUGGUCCCUCCCUUUCUCUUCGCUCUCAGAAAUCCGAGUUUCGCAGAUGCUUAGCUCAGAGGAGAAAAUUGUGUGCGGAAUCAAGUCCUUCCUUCUGUUAGGCAGUUGGAUGGGAGGGACCAAAAAUCACUUGGUGUCCUGACAAGAUUUGUUACUGUUGCUAAGAUCGUCAGCUCUAAUGCUUUGAGGGAGAUAACUUCCUGCAAACCCAGAACUUUCGGAUUUCUUCCGAGCUUGAAGCUUCUUCACUUACCACACCAGAAGAAACCUUGCAUGUGUGCAUUCAACAUGUCCAAGCUUACGUCCACAUCCUUCACUUCCUGCAAAUAGUGAUGUCUAAUCAGCACAGCUCUGUCUGCCCCCUGAUCUGGGCACACAUGGUCCCCUGAUCUCAUGGACUCCUUACACUUUGCAAUUGGAGGAAGAUCCUUCCAGAUCACGCCACAUGAAGAUGGAGGCAGAUGUUGGACUGAUGCUUCUACAAGCCAGAGAACUCCAAGGUGGCCAGCAUAUCAUCAGAAGCUAUGGGAGAAGCAUGAAACAGAUCUUUCCCUCACUGCCCUCAGAAGGAACAGGUGGUGCUGACACCUUGAUCUCGGAUUCUAGCCUCCAAAACUUUAACAAUUUACACUAGUUCUAAAACUCAUCUCAACCUGGAACUCACAGGGUAUGCCUUUGUGGAACAUAAGGAAAUUCUGCCAUUUGACUCUACUGCAUGUAUAAGAAAAAGGAAUUGAGAAGCUUGAUGUGGAGAUAGCCUAAAAGUGAAAGAAGGAGAAGUAUUCAAGGAGGAAAGAAGUAGAGGAAGAAACAACACAUCAUUUCAAUCUGCAAAAGGUAUAGGAAAGACGAAGAAUACAAGCCCUAGAAACUGGUUUGAACUCCAGCAGUGAUUUCAACAAAAGAACAAAGUGACCAAAAUAACAAAAGACCAGUGAUGUACUUUCAUCUUCUAAGGAACUAACAGAACCUGGAGAACGAAAACCUUCACAUCAAAUUGGAUUCAUGAGCUGUAUACACUGGGCAACGAUGACAGCACAAGAAAUAAUUUCAACUAACUUAUGCCAACACUUGAAAAUGGUAUUUUAGGAAAGUGAGUACAAUAUGUAGAAUGGAUUGGGUGAGGCAAGAAACUAGAGGCAAGAAGAGAACAGCUAUUGCUGUAAUCACUCUUAAAUCACCCACAAGUUACAAGGAUAUUGUUAUUUUUGCAGAAACGCCAGUGACAUGUGGAUAAUGAAAUACAACCACAGUUGUAUAAGUACAUCUUUAUGCAUAUAAAGGGGAAAAGCAGUUCUCAAGCUCAUCUAAGAGACAAGCUCUUCGGACCAUUUGAAGAAUCCACUUGAAGAAUAAAUCUCUGUCUUACAAUUUUUUUUAAUGUUUAUUUAUUUUUAAGGGGGGGGAGGGGUAGACAGAUGAGGACAGAGGAUCCAAAGCAGUAUCUAUGCCUAUAGCAGUGAGCCCAAUGUGGUGCUUGGAUUCACAAACCGUGAUGAUGACCUGAGCCGUAAGUCAAACACUCAGUGGACUGAGCUACCCAGGCACCCCUCUCUAUCUCAGAAUUUUAAGCUCACUACAAUUUCUGCUCAUGCAAUGGCCACUAAUGCCUAUUAAGUGCCAAGUACUAUAUUAAGCAAGAAGGAUACACAGAUAAUUAAGUCACAGUCACUAGCCCUGGAGGCUUUCAGUCCGGGAAGUCAGAAAUGUAAAUGUUUAUGAAUCUAAUGAACUGAGUGCUAUAGAAACACAGAAGUGUUUAACACAUGAACAAAAAAAUUUAGUCUGUCUAAAUGUUAAGGUCUUACUUUCAGUUUCAAACUGUCAAACCUUUUCCAAACUAAAUGUCAAAUAUUGAAGGGAAAAAAGCUAACGGUAUUCUAAAAGUAAAUACGGACAAACAUUCUUGCGAAUUUAACACUUGUAAUAGGAUGCUGUCUCCAGUGAGCCAUGUCAGGAGAGUUACUUAAAAGUUUACUUCCACUUGCAAAGUUAGAAUACAAGUAUGUUUGGCUACAUACCCAUCAAAGGCUGAAUAAGAAACUGAA